GACGAACGCUGGCGGCGUGCUUAACACAUGCAAGUCGAACGAAGAACGAUGGAAUCUUGCUUCUAUCACUCUUAGUGACGGGCGGGUGAGUAAUGAGUAACCAACCCGCCCUUCAGAGGGGGACAACAGUAGGAAACGACAGCUCAUACCGCAUCCGAUCUUAUCACGGGAUCGAGGAGAGAUGAAAGGUGGCCUCUACAUGUAAUCUCUCACUGAAGGAGGGUAUUGCGUCUGAUUAGCUAGCUGGAGGGGUAAAGGCCCACCUAGGCGGAGAUCAGUAGCCGGUCUGAGAGGAUGGGUGGCCAGACUGAGACUGUGACACGCCACAGACGCCCUCAGGAGGCAGCCAGGGGGAAUCUUCCGCAAUGGGCGGAAAUCUUACGGAGCAACGCCGCGGGCGUGAUGACGGCCUUCGGGUUGUAAAGGUCUGUUAAUCGGGACGAAAGGCCUUCUUGCGAAUAGUGAGAGGGAUUGACGGUACCGGAAGAGAAAGCCACGGCUAACUACGUG
RNAcentral lists this ribosomal RNA (510 nucleotides) under uncultured bacterium. RNAcentral's name for it is "partial 16S ribosomal RNA". It matches the Rfam family "Bacterial small subunit ribosomal RNA", at positions 28 to 507 of the family's 1533-position model. The record is from RNAcentral.